GGAAAAUGGGAGGAGGGGCCUGCCCCAGGCCCCGCAACAAUGUUAUGGGGCA
This is a non-coding RNA of Heterocephalus glaber (naked mole-rat), 52 nucleotides long. Lineage: Eukaryota; Metazoa; Chordata; Mammalia; Rodentia; Bathyergidae. The record is from Rfam.